RNAcentral lists this ribosomal RNA (253 nucleotides) under uncultured bacterium. RNAcentral describes it as "partial 16S ribosomal RNA". It matches the Rfam family "Bacterial small subunit ribosomal RNA", at positions 524 to 776 of the family's 1533-position model. The record is from RNAcentral.
UACGUAGGCAGCAAGCGUUGUUCGGCAUUACUGGGCGUAAAGGGCUCGUAGGCGGCCAACUAAGUCGGAUGUGAAAUCCCCAGGCUCAACCUGGGAACUGCGUCCGAUACUGGAUGGCUUGAAUUCGGGAGAGGGAUGCAGAAUUCCAGGUGUAGCGGUGAAAUGCGUAGAUAUCUGGAGGAAUACCGGUGGCGAAGGCGGCAUCCUGGACCGACAUUGACGCUGAGGAGCGAAAGCUAGGGGAGCAAACGGG